This 279-nucleotide ribosomal RNA is filed under the name uncultured Staphylococcus sp. Its description in RNAcentral is "partial 16S ribosomal RNA". It matches the Rfam family "Bacterial small subunit ribosomal RNA", at positions 83 to 355 of the family's 1533-position model. The record is from RNAcentral. Lineage: Bacteria; Bacillati; Bacillota; Bacilli; Caryophanales; Staphylococcaceae.
CCUUUGACGUUAGCGGCGGACGGGUGAGUAACACGUGGGUAACCUACCUAUAAGACUGGGAUAACUUCGGGAAACCGGAGCUAAUACCGGAUAAUAUUUCGAACCGCAUGGUUCGAUAGUGAAAGGUGGUUUUGCUAUCACUUAUAGAUGGACCCGCGCCGUAUUAGCUAGUUGGUAAGGUAACGGCUUACCAAGGCGACGAUACGUAGCCGACCUGAGAGGGUGAUCGGCCACACUGGAACAGAGACACGGUCCAGACUCCUACGGGAGGCAGCAGCA